GACGAACGCUGGCGGCGUGCUUAACACAUGCAAGUCGAACGAAGUGGCGAACGGGUGAGUAACGCGUAAUAAACCUGCCCUUCAGAGGGGGAAAAAAGUUGGAAAAGACUGCUAAUACCGCAUACUGAGGGAGGGGAGACAGUCUGAUUAGCUUGUGGGGGGGGUAACGGCCCACCAAGGCGAUUAUCAGUAGCCUGUCUGAGCGGAUGAACGGCACCAGUGGGACUGAGACACGGCCCAGACUCCUACGGGAGGCAGCAGGGGGGAAUUCUCCGCAAUGGACGAAAGUCUGACGGAGCAACGCCGCGUGAGUGAUGACGGCUUUCGGGUUGUAAAGCUCUGUUAAUCGGGACGCGGUACCGGAAUAGAAAGCCACGGCUAACUACGUGCCAGCAGCCGCGGUAAUUC
RNAcentral lists this ribosomal RNA (408 nucleotides) under uncultured bacterium. RNAcentral describes it as "partial 16S ribosomal RNA". It matches the Rfam family "Bacterial small subunit ribosomal RNA", at positions 28 to 526 of the family's 1533-position model. The record is from RNAcentral.